AUUGGCUACAAGCAUACAAAUGAAGCUGGAGAACAAAGUCACCUGAGCUCUCUUACAAGGGUGAGAUGCAAACACACAAGGCUCAGAAGUGGCCUCACUGUCUCCUUUUCUCUUUCUCUGUUGCCCCUAGGCAAAAGGAGGAAAAUCUUCCAGCAAUACCUGCAGCUCGGGGCCAGCCCAGGUUUUACAGCCUGGUGUGCCAGCAUGGAACAAAAGGUUUUCAAAGAAACCUUUUGUCACCCUUGGAAGAAGAGGAGGCUUUAUAGGGCAGAUUUCGAAAACAAACAAGCAACCCAGAAAGUAAAUUUGAAAGAUGCUCACACUCCUCUGCUUAAGCCUGAGGUGAACUGAAGGAG
This 356-nucleotide long non-coding RNA is filed under the name Parus major (Great Tit). RNAcentral's name for it is "lncRNA (ENSPMJG00000000750.1)". Lineage: Eukaryota; Metazoa; Chordata; Aves; Passeriformes; Paridae. The record is from RNAcentral.